This 253-nucleotide ribosomal RNA is filed under the name uncultured bacterium. RNAcentral describes it as "partial 16S ribosomal RNA". It matches the Rfam family "Bacterial small subunit ribosomal RNA", at positions 524 to 776 of the family's 1533-position model. The record is from RNAcentral.
UACGAAGGGGGCUAGCGUUGUUCGGAAUCACUGGGCGUAAAGCGCACGUAGGCGGAUUUGUAAGUCAGGGGUGAAAUCCCGAGGCUCAACCUCGGAACUGCCUUUGAUACUGCAAAUCUCGAGUCCGGAAGAGGUGAGUGGAAUUCCUAGUGUAGAGGUGAAAUUCGUAGAUAUUAGGAAGAACACCAGUGGCGAAGGCGGCUCACUGGUCCGGUACUGACGCUGAGGUGCGAAAGCGUGGGGAGCAAACAGG